RNAcentral lists this ribosomal RNA (602 nucleotides) under Pluteus sp. UC 1861124. Its description in RNAcentral is "eukaryotic LSU rRNA". The stretch from base 194 to 347 matches the Rfam family "5.8S ribosomal RNA". The record is from RNAcentral. Lineage: Eukaryota; Fungi; Basidiomycota; Agaricomycetes; Agaricales; Pluteaceae.
GGAUAAGUCUGCUGGCCUUCUUGGAGGCAUGUGCACGGCCCGCCAUUGUUUCAUCCUCCUCCACCUGUGCACUUCUGUGGGUCCAAUCCAGUGCACCAUGUGUGCUGGGCUCUGGUACCUACGUUUUCACUACCCACACGAUUGAAUGUUCAGAAUGUAUGUAUCGGGCAUUCUUGCCCAUAAAACCUUAUACAACUUUCAACAACGGAUCUCUUGGCUCUCGCAUCGAUGAAGAACGCAGCGAAAUGCGAUAAGUAAUGUGAAUUGCAGAAUUCAGUGAAUCAUCGAAUCUUUGAACGCACCUUGCGCUCCUUGGUAUUCCGAGGAGCAUGCCUGUUUGAGUGUCAUUAAAUCAUCAAUCACCUCGUCUUCGAGAGGGUUGGACUUGGAGGCUCUGCUGGCCCCUUCUGGGACCGGCUCCUCUGAAAAGCAUUAGCAGGGCCCAUGUUGUGCGAUCUGCAGCCUUGUGUGAUAGUCAUCUACACUUGUCUCGGUUGCAUUGAAUGCCAAGCUUACAGUCGUCUGCUGUUGUGGACAAUUUACUUGACCAAUUGACCUCAAAUCAGGUAGGAUUACCCGCUGAACUUAAGCAUAUCAAUAAG